This 221-nucleotide unclassified non-coding RNA is filed under the name plant metagenome. RNAcentral's name for it is "partial contains small subunit ribosomal RNA, internal transcribed spacer 1, and 5.8S ribosomal RNA". The record is from RNAcentral.
GCUCCGUAGGUGAACCUGCGGAGGGAUCAUUACGGAGUUCGUGCCCUCGCGGGUGGAUCUCCCACCCAGUGUUAUUGCUACCUUUGUUGCUAUCGCGGGCUGCCCUCGGCUAACGGCCCCAGCUCGUACGCGCCCGCCAGAGGACCCCAAACACUGAAAGACAGUGUCGUCUGAGUAAUUUACAAUAGUUAAAACUUUCAACAACGGAUCUCUUGGUUCUG